This 22-nucleotide non-coding RNA is filed under the name Arabidopsis thaliana (thale cress). Lineage: Eukaryota; Viridiplantae; Streptophyta; Magnoliopsida; Brassicales; Brassicaceae. The record is from RNAcentral.
CCUUGUAUUGCUCUUGUUGGUC